UGGGGAAUAUUGGACAAUGGGCGCAAGCCUGAUCCAGCCAUGCCGCGUGAGUGAUGAAGGCCCUAGGGUUGUAAAGCUCUUUCACCGGUGAAGAUAAUGACGGUAACCGGAGAAGAAGCCCCGGCUAACUUCGUGCCAGCAGCCGCGGUAAUACGAAGGGGGCUAGCGUUGUUCGGAUUUACUGGGCGUAAAGCGCACGUAGGCGGACUUUUAAGUCAGGGGUGAAAUCCCGGGGCUCAACCCCGGAACUGCCUUUGAUACUGGAAGUCUUGAGUAUGGUAGAGGUGAGUGGAAUUCCGAGUGUAGAGGUGAAAUUCGUAGAAAUUCGGAGGAACACCAGUGGCGAAGGCGGCUCACUGGACCAUUACUGACGCUGAGGUGCGAAAGCGUGGGGAGCAAACAGG
This 404-nucleotide ribosomal RNA is filed under the name Pseudomonas sp. RNAcentral's name for it is "partial 16S ribosomal RNA". It matches the Rfam family "Bacterial small subunit ribosomal RNA", at positions 355 to 776 of the family's 1533-position model. RNAcentral also lists the same sequence under 3 other names. The record is from RNAcentral. Lineage: Bacteria; Pseudomonadati; Pseudomonadota; Gammaproteobacteria; Pseudomonadales; Pseudomonadaceae.